Talpa occidentalis (Iberian mole) is the source of this 256-nucleotide long non-coding RNA. RefSeq lists it as uncharacterized. Lineage: Eukaryota; Metazoa; Chordata; Mammalia; Eulipotyphla; Talpidae. The transcript is spliced from 3 exons. The record is from RefSeq and is a predicted model, not a curated record.
CCAUACCAGUUCAGAGGAUUCUCUCAAGAGCUGCUCCUCAACACAGUGUGUGGUUAGCCAUCGACUUCUGGGGCAGCUUAUCUCCCCAGAUACAGAAAUGUAACUGCACUGAAGUCCGUCCUCCAGGGCAAGGAGCACAGCCUGAUCAAGGUCCAUGAUGCCCUGGCCUAUAUUCUGGAGAAUGUUAAAAUCUGUCUAUCCUGACCCUACAUGUGUAUGUGAAAUUUUAACUGAAAAAGGCACAACAGAAUCUUCU